RNAcentral lists this ribosomal RNA (1269 nucleotides) under Acinetobacter baumannii. Its description in RNAcentral is "bacterial SSU rRNA". It matches the Rfam family "Bacterial small subunit ribosomal RNA", at positions 148 to 1413 of the family's 1533-position model. The record is from RNAcentral. Lineage: Bacteria; Pseudomonadati; Pseudomonadota; Gammaproteobacteria; Moraxellales; Moraxellaceae.
AUCUCGAAAGGGAUGCUAAUACCGCAUACGUCCUACGGGAGAAACAGGGGAUCUUCGGACCUUGCGCUAAUAGAUGAGCCUAAGUCGGAUUAGCUAGUUGGUGGGGUAAAGGCCUACCAAGGCGACGAUCUGUAGCGGGUCUGAGAGGAUGAUCCGCCACACUGGGACUGAGACACGGCCCAGACUCCUACGGGAGGCAGCAGUGGGGAAUAUUGGACAAUGGGGGGAACCCUGAUCCAGCCAUGCCGCGUGUGUGAAGAAGGCCUUAUGGUUGUAAAGCACUUUAAGCGAGGAGGAGGCUACUCUAGUUAAUACCUAGAGAUAGUGGACGUUACUCGCAGAAUAAGCACCGGCUAACUCUGUGCCAGCAGCCGCGGUAAUACAGAGGGUGCGAGCGUUAAUCGGAUUUACUGGGCGUAAAGCGUGCGUAGGCGGCUUAUUAAGUCGGAUGUGAAAUCCCCGAGCUUAACUUGGGAAUUGCAUUCGAUACUGGUGAGCUAGAGUAUGGGAGAGGAUGGUAGAAUUCCAGGUGUAGCGGUGAAAUGCGUAGAGAUCUGGAGGAAUACCGAUGGCGAAGGCAGCCAUCUGGCCUAAUACUGACGCUGAGGUACGAAAGCAUGGGGAGCAAACAGGAUUAGAUACCCUGGUAGUCCAUGCCGUAAACGAUGUCUACUAGCCGUUGGGGCCUUUGAGGCUUUAGUGGCGCAGCUAACGCGAUAAGUAGACCGCCUGGGGAGUACGGUCGCAAGACUAAAACUCAAAUGAAUUGACGGGGGCCCGCACAAGCGGUGGAGCAUGUGGUUUAAUUCGAUGCAACGCGAAGAACCUUACCUGGCCUUGACAUACUAGAAACUUUCCAGAGAUGGAUUGGUGCCUUCGGGAAUCUAGAUACAGGUGCUGCAUGGCUGUCGUCAGCUCGUGUCGUGAGAUGUUGGGUUAAGUCCCGCAACGAGCGCAACCCUUUUCCUUACUUGCCAGCAUUUCGGAUGGGAACUUUAAGGAUACUGCCAGUGACAAACUGGAGGAAGGCGGGGACGACGUCAAGUCAUCAUGGCCCUUACGGCCAGGGCUACACACGUGCUACAAUGGUCGGUACAAAGGGUUGCUACACAGCGAUGUGAUGCUAAUCUCAAAAAGCCGAUCGUAGUCCGGAUUGGAGUCUGCAACUCGACUCCAUGAAGUCGGAAUCGCUGGUAAUCGCGGAUCAGAAUGCCGCGGUGAAUACGUUCCCGGGCCUUGUACACACCGCCCGUCACACCAUGGGAGUUU